UCCCUGAGAGUCCUGAAGGAACGUUGAAGACGACGACGUUGAUAGGCCGGGUGUGUAAGCGCAGCGAUGCGUUGAGCUAACCGGUACUAAUGAACCGUGAGGCUUAACCUUACAACGCCGAAG
RNAcentral lists this ribosomal RNA (123 nucleotides) under Escherichia coli. RNAcentral describes it as "partial 23S ribosomal RNA". It matches the Rfam family "Bacterial large subunit ribosomal RNA", at positions 2812 to 2925 of the family's 2925-position model. The record is from RNAcentral. Lineage: Bacteria; Pseudomonadati; Pseudomonadota; Gammaproteobacteria; Enterobacterales; Enterobacteriaceae.